UACAGAGGUCCCAAGCGUUGUUCGGAUUCAUUGGGCGUGAAGGGUGCGUAGGCGGCGCGGUAAGUCGGGUGUGAAAUCUCGGGGCUUAACUCCGAAACUGCAUUCGAUACUGCCGUGCUUGAGGACUGGAGAGGAGACUGGAAUUUACGGUGUAGCGGUGAAAUGCGUAGAUAUCGUAAGGAAGACCAGUGGCGAAGGCGGGUCUCUGGACAGUUCCUGACGCUGAGGCACGAAGGCCAGGGGAGCAAACGGG
Molecule: ribosomal RNA, 253 nt
Filed under: uncultured bacterium
Lineage: Bacteria
Description: partial 16S ribosomal RNA
Rfam family: Bacterial small subunit ribosomal RNA
Source: RNAcentral